This 629-nucleotide long non-coding RNA is filed under the name Anas platyrhynchos platyrhynchos (common mallard). RNAcentral describes it as "lncRNA (ENSAPLG00000022449.1)". The record is from RNAcentral. Lineage: Eukaryota; Metazoa; Chordata; Aves; Anseriformes; Anatidae.
GAUGCCUGCUACUCGCAAUCUGCUCACAGGCAAUUUGCAAAUAAGAAAGGAAGUUUAAAUUCAGUCACCAGAAAUAGCUCAUUUCUGGGUUUGCAAGUUGUCUGGGAGCUGCUCGCAGUUUUGUCAUUUGCGGUUAAAAAAAAAAAAAAAAAAAGAAAAAAAAAAAAAAAAGCAAAAUCCGAAGAAGACAGAAAGCAGAAGUCUGGCUGGGGAACAGAGCUGAGCAUUGCGGCAGGAGCGGAUUCGCUGCGUCCACAUCCCCGUCAGCCAGCUCCUGCAGCCGUUCGGGGCAGGCACGGAGAUCGGCUACAAAGCACCGUGGCCCUCGUCCCAGGAACGGCGAGGAGAAUUUAUGAAAUGGACGUGAAAGGCAAACAGGGCCUUGGAAGUUUUCCCCAGCGUGAGAGAAGCUCUUGAAGUUUAUUCACAUAACAGCCAUCUUAUUAAAGAGUGUCUUGGAGAACUUUGAACAGCUUUCUAUAUGGAAACAAAUCUGCCUCUAUAGCAGCAGUUUUCUGUGUUUCUUUUGAUAACGAUAAUGAUCUUACAUUUCUGUGCUGCCUUUCAUCUUGCCGGAUCUUAAUGAGCUUUACAGACAAAUGUGCAAGCUAUACGCAAAGAUCAAUUCG